UAGGGAAUCUUCCACAAUGGACGCAAGUCUGAUGGAGCAACGCCGCGUGAGUGAAGAAGGUUUUCGGAUCGUAAAGCUCUGUUGUUGGUGAAGAAGGAUAGAGGCAGUAACUGGUCUUUAUUUGACGGUAAUCAACCAGAAAGUCACGGCUAACUACGUGCCAGCAGCCGCGGUAAUACGUAGGUGGCAAGCGUUGUCCGGAUUUAUUGGGCGUAAAGCGAGCGCAGGCGGAAUGAUAAGUCUGAUGUGAAAGCCCACGGCUCAACCGUGGAACUGCAUCGGAAACUGUCAUUCUUGAGUGCAGAAGAGGAGAGUGGAAUUCCAUGUGUAGCGGUGGAAUGCGUAGAUGUAUGGAAGAACACCAGUGGCGAAGGCGGCUCUCUGGUCUGCAACUGACGCUGAGGCUCGAAAGCAUGGGUAGCGAACAGG
This 429-nucleotide ribosomal RNA is filed under the name bacterium. RNAcentral describes it as "partial 16S ribosomal RNA". It matches the Rfam family "Bacterial small subunit ribosomal RNA", at positions 355 to 776 of the family's 1533-position model. The record is from RNAcentral.